GGCCCCCACACCGGGCACAGAUUUUUCCAAUCUGGUCCCGGAGUUUGCCAGAAGGCUGGAGGACCACAGGGAUGUGUGGGAUGCAUCUGGCUUCUAUCCCAACUUCUGUGAAUUGAAUCACCCAUUUGAUAAUCAAAUAAGAAGAUUAUUGGACACCAAGAAACAGGUAUGGGUGGAGCUUCUAAGGAACACAGAACAAAGUCACUGCUUUCUGUGAGAAGGAUUCUUCAAUCUGCCCAGGCUAGUGGCCAGCUGGGGAGUCCAGAUGACACAGUCAAUACAAAUCAGACUCCUGAGACACAAAGCAGGAUGCAGAAGACUGGAGACUGGACCUGGAGGGACACACCAAGAACAUCGAGCAUGUAAUGAAAGUUUCUUGGGUUUCCCUUGUGGCUCAGUGGUAAAGAAUCCACCUGCCAGUGCUGGAGACACAGGCCCAGCCCUUGAUCUGGGAAGAUCCCACAUGCCCCAGGAUAACUCAGACCGGGCGCCACAACUACUGAGCCUGCGCACUAGAGCCCGAGAGCCACAACUACCAAAGCCACGUGACACCAGAGCCUGUGCUCUUCAAGGAGAGAAACCUCCACGGUGAGAAGCCUGUGCAGCACAAGGAAGAGUGGCCCCCGCUUGCUGCAACUACAGAAGUGUGUGCAGCAACAGAGACCCAGCACGGCCAAAAAUAAAUAAACUGAUUUUUUAAAAAAAGAAUGAAAGCUUCUCGAAAGUUGAGACCGUUGAGCUCAGGGCUGUGUCUCUGACAUCUAUUUUAGUACAUGGUGUAUAGUUGGUGCCAUCUAAUAUCAAAUAUGGUUAAAUGACUAAGUGGGUAAAUGAAUAAAUCAGUUGUUCUUAAGAAGUAUAUUGUCUAGCAUGUAGCAAAAAUAACUCAGAAAUCUUCCAUUUUAAGUAAUAUUUUAUUGAAUUCUUAUCUGAUACUUUGCUAAGAAUUUUACCAGUCUUGCUGCCAAUGAGAGAUGUUUUGGUUUAUAGACAAGAAGAGGGAUAUGCAUAUUUAUAUAAAAUAAAUAUAUGCAUGCAUAUAUUACAUGGGAAUGUGCCUGUGCCUAUAUAUAUAUAUAUAUGAAUGCUAUUUGUGUAGGAAUACAUGUAUAUGUGUGUAUGUGUUCAUUAGUGUGUUUGUGUAUAAAAUUUUUUUGGCCAGAAAGGAGAUAGCUUUCCGUUCAAUGUCUCAUUGGAAGAAUAUUCAUCUUCUGUCCUAGGAAGCAGUGCCAGAGACAGGACAUGGAAAGAGGUGUCAGCGGGAACCUUCCACAGUGCUGACA
Molecule: long non-coding RNA, 1283 nt
Organism: Bos taurus (domestic cattle)
Lineage: Eukaryota; Metazoa; Chordata; Mammalia; Artiodactyla; Bovidae
Source: Ensembl